CUACGGGUCGCUCCAGUGGGGAAUAUUGGACAAUGGGGGAAACCCUGAUCCAGCAAUGCCGCGUGUGUGAAGAAGGCCUGCGGGUUGUAAAGCACUUUCGGUUGGGAGGACUGCUUCUAGCACUAAUAUUGUUGGAAGUUGACGUUACCUUCAGAAGAAGCACCGGCUAGCUCCGUGCCAGCAGCCGCGGUAAUACGGAGGGUGCAAGCGUUAAUCGGAAUUACUGGGCGUAAAGCGCGCGUAGGCGGCUAGAUCAGUCGGGUGUGAAAGCCCCGGGCUUAACCUGGGAACUGCAUCCGAUACUGUCUAGCUUGAGUACAGGAGAGGAGAGUGGAAUUCCACAUGUAGCGGUGAAAUGCGUAGAUAUGUGGAGGAACACCAAUGGCGAAGGCAGCUCUCUGGCCUGAUACUGACGCUGAGGUGCGAAAGCGUGGGGGGCAAACAGGAUUAGAUACCCCCGUAGUC
RNAcentral lists this ribosomal RNA (465 nucleotides) under uncultured bacterium. RNAcentral's name for it is "partial 16S ribosomal RNA". It matches the Rfam family "Bacterial small subunit ribosomal RNA", at positions 339 to 795 of the family's 1533-position model. The record is from RNAcentral.